RNAcentral lists this ribosomal RNA (99 nucleotides) under uncultured bacterium. Its description in RNAcentral is "partial 16S ribosomal RNA". It matches the Rfam family "Bacterial small subunit ribosomal RNA", at positions 254 to 353 of the family's 1533-position model. The record is from RNAcentral.
GGGGUAACGGCCCACCAAACUCANGNGUAGGGGUUCUGAGAGGAAGGUCCCCCACAUUGGAACUGAGACACGGUCCAAACUCCUACGGGAGGCAGCAUG